Molecule: ribosomal RNA, 505 nt
Filed under: uncultured bacterium
Lineage: Bacteria
Description: partial 16S ribosomal RNA
Rfam family: Bacterial small subunit ribosomal RNA
Source: RNAcentral
GACGAACGCUGGCGGCGUGCCUAAUACAUGCAAGUCGAACGCACAGUUUAUACCGUAGCUUGCUACACCAUAGACUGUGAGUUGCGAACGGGUGAGUAACGCGUAGGUAACCUGCCUGGUAGCGGGGGAUAACUAUUGGAAACGAUAGCUAAUACCGCAUAAUAUUGAUUAUUGCAUGAUAAUUGAUUGAAAGAUGCUAUUGCAUCACUACCAGAUGGACCUGCGUUGUAUUAGCUAGUAGGUGAGGUAACGGCUCACCUAGGCGACGAUACAUAGCCGACAGGAGAGGAUGAUCAGCCACACUGGGACGGAGACACGGCCCAGACUCCUACGGGAGGCAGCAGUAGUGAUUCUUCGGCAAGGGACGAAAGUCUGACCGAGCAACGCCGCGUGAGUGAGGAAGGUUUUCGGAUCGUAAAGCUCUGUUGUAAGAGAAGAACGGGUGUGAGAGUGGAAAGUUCACACUGUGACGGUAUCUGACCAGAAAGGGACGGCUAACUACGUG